Molecule: long non-coding RNA, 898 nt
Organism: Bos taurus (domestic cattle)
Lineage: Eukaryota; Metazoa; Chordata; Mammalia; Artiodactyla; Bovidae
Source: Ensembl
GGACAUAGUCCCUCCUUCUUUUCCGGAUCAAGAAGAGCAGGAGUGGAGUGACGGAUACUCGUAUCUCAUCGCAAUACAGGCGUGGAGGCGGUCCACCUGCGUCCGUACGACUCAGUCGGAACUCUGCCUGUUUUUGAUGCGAACGAAUUGAGCAGAACUUGCUUGGUGUAGAUAAUGGUUGAGAAGACCCACUUCUAUUUCUCCUGAACCUAAUAUAAUACUGACACAGCGUUGGUGGUCAGUGACCAUUUAUUGGAUGGAUAGGCUAAAGUCCUGGUGGAGUGCCCAAGACCAGAACACUGGGGAGAAACCCUCUGAACUCCUGUCCACACUCCUGUCCACAGUGCAGCCCCCGGGGACACACGUACGACCACUGUGUGGGAGGACCCAACACUCUACAGAGAAUGGAUCAGAGAUCUUACCUCAAGGACAGCACGGUCUAGAAUGCUCCUGACAUGACAGCUUCCAUGACGCCUCUGCACGCAGUGGACUCGUCUGGAACAGACCAGAAGCAAAGGACCACACGGGGACCUCAUGCACCUUGUGGGGGGCAAAGCUCCAGAUCUCCAAGGAACAGGACUCACCUGGGCCAGCUGUCUCUUGACAGGAUGGGGACACCUCUCAGGGACCCCUGUGCACCGUGCUGCUUCCUCUGCAACGAUCAAGAAGCCCUGGAUGAGCAACCUGGAUGCCACCCGGUCACCACGUGUCCUGGAACCCAGAUGGAUGCCACCCGGUCACCACGUGUCCUGGAACCCAGGCAGAGCACCUGGGUUCUCGGAGACACUGGCUGCUUCACAAAUGUGGGCUGUGUUCCCAACCCACGAGCCACACCUUUUAUUCCCAGGACAGAAGUUCAUUACUCCACAUAGGACAACAGCUCAUCUGCAUCUGACAC